This 208-nucleotide unclassified non-coding RNA is filed under the name Hevea brasiliensis (rubber tree). The record is from RNAcentral. Lineage: Eukaryota; Viridiplantae; Streptophyta; Magnoliopsida; Malpighiales; Euphorbiaceae.
GGCCAUGCUUAAUACCUUCUUCCCGUGGUCAGCAUCAUAUAGGUCUCUUUUCUCACUAGGAUGACUCAUACCAGCUGGAUCUCUGCCAACAAUAUAGAAAUUAGCUCCUGCAUUUAUCCGGGACUUGGCAUGCCACUGCACCUCAGUUGGGCCUGCAUAUUGCAUUGGAGAGGGGAAGAUUGCAACAACUGUUGUUUCUGGGUUCAGG